AUGAUUAUGUUGCUGAGAAAGCAUUAGAGGAUGCAAUGAAAGCCAACCUUGACCGUGUAGAAGCAAAUAAACUGGAUGGAAAGA
RNAcentral lists this non-coding RNA (84 nucleotides) under Heterosigma akashiwo. Lineage: Eukaryota; Raphidophyceae; Chattonellales; Chattonellaceae. The record is from RNAcentral.